GAUGAAGAACGCAGCGAAAUGCGAUAAGUAAUGUGAAUUACAGAAUUCAGUGAAUCAUCGAAUCUUUGAACGCACAUUGCGCCCGCCAGUAUUCUGGCGGGCAUGCCUGUUCGAGCGUCAUUACAACCCUCAGGCCCCCGGGCCUGGCGUUGGGGAUCGGCGGAGCCCCCCGUGGGCACACGCCGUCCCCCAAAUACAGUGGCGGUCCCGCCGCAGCUUCCAUCGCGUAGUAGCUAACACCUCGCGACUGGAGAGCGGCGCGGCCACGCCGUAAAACACCCAACUCUUCUGAAGUUGACCUCGAAUCAGGUAGGAAUACCCGCUGAACUUAAGCAUAUCAAUAAGCGGAGGA
Molecule: unclassified non-coding RNA, 352 nt
Filed under: soil metagenome
Description: partial contains 5.8S ribosomal RNA, internal transcribed spacer 2, and large subunit ribosomal RNA
Rfam family: 5.8S ribosomal RNA (bases 1-120)
Source: RNAcentral